GACGAACGCUGGCGGCGUGCCUAAUACAUGCCAGUAGAACGCUGAAGGAGGAGCUUGCUUCUCUGGAUGAGUUGCGAACGGGUGAGUAACGCGUAGGUAACCUGCCUGGUAGCGGGGGAUAACUAUUGGAAACGAUAGCUAAUACCGCAUAAUAUUGACUAUUGCAUGAUAGUCAGUUGAAAGGUGCAACUGCACCACUACCAGAUGGACCUGCGUUGUAUUAGCUAGUUGGUGGGGUAACGGCUCACCAAGGCGACGAUACAUAGCCGACCUGAGAGGGUGAUCGGCCACGCUGGGACUGAGACACGGCCCAGACUCCUACGGGAGGCAGCAGUAGGGAAUCUUCGGCAAUGGACGGAAGUCUGACCGAGCAACGCCGCGUGAGUGAAGAAGGUUUUCGGAUCGUAAAGCUCUGUUGUAAGAGAAGAACGAGUGUGAGAGUGGAAAGCUCACACUGUGACGGUAUCUUACCAGAAAGGGACGGCUAACUACGUG
RNAcentral lists this ribosomal RNA (495 nucleotides) under uncultured bacterium. Its description in RNAcentral is "partial 16S ribosomal RNA". It matches the Rfam family "Bacterial small subunit ribosomal RNA", at positions 28 to 507 of the family's 1533-position model. The record is from RNAcentral.